RNAcentral lists this unclassified non-coding RNA (374 nucleotides) under uncultured Thermoleophilia bacterium. Its description in RNAcentral is "contains 16S-23S intergenic spacer region". Lineage: Bacteria; Bacillati; Actinomycetota; Thermoleophilia. The record is from RNAcentral.
UCCGGUUUGUCACCGGCAGUCUCCCAUGAGUCCCCAACUUAAUGCUGGCAACAUAGGACAGGGGUUGCGCUCGUUGCGGGACUUAACCCAACAUCUCACGACACGAGCUGACGGCAGCCGUGCACCACCUGUGAUGGUGUCCCGAAGGAAAGGUGUGUUUCCACACCGGUCACCAACAUGUCAAACCCAGGUAAGGUUCUUCGCGUUGCAUCGAAUUAAAGAACAUGCUCCGCUGCUUGUGCGGGCCCCCGUCAAUUCUUUUGAGUUUUAGCCUUGCGGCCGUACUCCCCAGGCGGAGUGCUUAAUGCGUUAGCUGCGCCACUGAAGGGUAAACCCUCCAACGGCUAGCUCUCAUAGUUUACGGCGUGGACUAC